AUUGAACGCUGGCGGCAGGCCUAACACAUGCAAGUCGAAUGGUAACAGGAAACCGCUUGCUGUUUCGCUGACGAGUGGCGGACGGGUGAGUAAUGUCUGGGAAACUGCCUGAUGGAGGGGGAUAACUACUGGAAACGGUAGCUAAUACCGCAUAACGUCGCAAGACCAAAGAGGGGGACCUUCGGGCCUCUUGCCAUCAGAUGUGCCCAGAUGGGAAUAGCUAGUAGGUGGGGUAACGGCUCACCUAGGCGACGAUCCCUAGCUGGUCUGAGAGGAUGACCAGCCACACUGGAACUGAGACACGGUCCAGACUCCUACGGGAGGCAGCAGUGGGGAAUAUUGCACAAUGGGCGCAAGCCUGAUGCAGCCAUGCCGCGUGUAUGAAGAAGGCCUUCGGGUUGUAAAGUACUUUCAGCGGGGAGGAAGGGAGUAAAGUUAAUACCUUGGCUCAUUGACGUUACCCGCAGAAGAAGCACCGGCUAACUCCGUG
Molecule: ribosomal RNA, 490 nt
Filed under: uncultured bacterium
Lineage: Bacteria
Description: partial 16S ribosomal RNA
Rfam family: Bacterial small subunit ribosomal RNA
Source: RNAcentral